AUGACAACAGUCUAAAAGAAAGUAAUUUCCGUAUUUACGGAUGUAUAAUAUGGAAAAUGAUAGGGAAUUAAUAAUAGUUUGAAAAUAUAUUCCUUCAUUUAUAUAAGAUUUUCUUACCUCUAUUUCGUGUUUCAUUUCUGAACUUUUAACAAACUUUCAAUCGAUUGAUAUCGAUUAUUUCAUAUAAUAGUACAUCAGAUUAUCGUUAGUAUAUGAAGAUGUCGCAUCUGUAGAGUUCGAUUUGACAAGUUAAUAUUAUUUAUUAAAUUUUAUUUUAUUAUUAAGUGUGUUCACAUAUAUAUUAAUCAUUAAAGAAGAAGAAAUUUGCUGCAAAUACAAUUGAUAUAAUCAAAGAGAAAAUGAUUCCACGUAUUAAACUUCUUAACAAUUUGCAAGGAGGUUCAGCGCAAAACGACUCUCUCAAGACACAGUGGGUUCCUUGAGGACACUUGAAUCCGGCACAAGAAGAAACUUGACUUGAUCAGUUUGACUUUUCAUCUUGGUUUUUUUAUCAAAGUACUUUCAACUUAUAUGAAAUAUGAAAAUAUGUACGAACUCACUUUCAUCCCAACGACAACGGCGGACUUUCAUCAUGCAUGUGUAUCCAUUGGUGCAGUAUACAGCAUCACAGCUAGAAGGACCCUUCAAAGAUUCUCAAAAGACACGAAUGCGCAUAAAAAUAAAGAAUAGAAACUUGCAUAUGAGAAAUCUUUUACAUUAAUUUAAUAAUUUAUCUACAAUAUGCAAAGAAUAAAAUUUCCAUUAACUUAACUUAUUUAUACAUAAA
Long non-coding RNA from Apis dorsata (giant honeybee), 787 nucleotides. RefSeq lists it as uncharacterized. Lineage: Eukaryota; Metazoa; Arthropoda; Insecta; Hymenoptera; Apidae. The transcript has 3 exons. The record is from RefSeq and is a predicted model, not a curated record.